This is a long non-coding RNA of Octopus sinensis (East Asian common octopus), 104 nucleotides long. RefSeq lists it as uncharacterized. NCBI's taxonomy places the organism in Eukaryota, Metazoa, Mollusca, Cephalopoda, Octopoda, Octopodidae. The record is from RefSeq and is a predicted model, not a curated record. The transcript has 3 exons.
AAUAUUCUGUCUGUUUUAUGUUCAGACCAGCCAGAUCAGACCUCUCAUACUUUACCCUACCAUGUCAUUCUAAAAAUAAACAAUCAGAAUGUUGAAAUGUUAAA